RNAcentral lists this ribosomal RNA (382 nucleotides) under uncultured eukaryote. Its description in RNAcentral is "partial 18S ribosomal RNA". It matches the Rfam family "Eukaryotic small subunit ribosomal RNA", at positions 592 to 976 of the family's 1831-position model. The record is from RNAcentral.
UGUAAGCGUAUACCAAAGUUGUUGCAGUUAAAACGCUCGUAGUCGGAAUUUGGCAGUUCCGGAUGUGUGCACGUCGUGUGCGCACUUCGCGGGGAUUGCUUUUGUGGUCUUGCGUAGGAUGAGGCACUUUUAUUAUUGAACGUCCUCACGCAACCACUUUUUACUGUGAGAAAAUCAGAGUGCUCAAAGCAGGCAUUUGCCGUGAAUGUAUUAGCAUGGAAUAAUAGAAUAGGACUUGGUUCUAUUUUGUUGGUUUGUUGGGACUGAGUAAUGAUUAAGAGGGACAGUUGGGGGCAUUUGUAUUUCGGUGCUAGAGGUGAAAUUCUUAGAUUACCGAAAGACAAACUGCUGCGAAAGCGUCUGCCAAGGAUGUUUUCAUUGA